GCAACCCCCGCCAGAAGGACGGUACCGCCAUAUCGCUAGGAGCUCCGCCAGUCAUCGCCGAGGGGAGUCAUCGAAGUUGCAGCCAGUUUGGUUUCAGCAGCUAGGUUUCUUGUCAUGUCAAGAAUCGAGACAGGAUCGGCCAGGAUAACUCGUUGCAGGAGAAGAAACGCUCGGACGAGGGCCCCAUCAUAAGCCCAUUUCGCCUGGAGUCAGCCAACUGGAGCCACCAGGCGAGGAUUCGUUGCCAAGGGCUGUGAAAGGAUAAGUGAUUAAUUGUAUCUUUGUUGUUUUGUUGACUGAGUUGUUUUUGUUUUUAGUUUUUAGCGAAUUUUGCGAGGAAGCUAAAUUUGGUGAUCAUUUUUUUGACGCGGGUCAGUGUGUGAAUUCGCGACUGACGAAUUUUGGCAUUUUGGCUAGCAGUAGGUCCACUCAUCGACGGAUGACUGCAGCAUGGAGACGGAGUGUAAAUUCGCAGGAUUGUCAGCCUCGUUUUCGUUGGUUUGUGAUCUUUUAAAUAAUUUCCUUGAUUUAUUUUGAGCCGAUUACAUAUUUAUAUUCUUUGUUUAUAAGAGAUUCGUCAGCAUGCAUCCGGGGUUACAUCAUGCGAGGAGUGGUUUAUGCUGCCGUCAGGGGGCCAAAAUGCGUUUUCGUGGUGGCAGGAUUCAGGCAUUUCGGCGAGCAGCAGCACCACGCAACUUGGGCUAGGGAGGACUACAGCAAGAUGUUCAAUAAAGUAUAUAAUUCAUUGUAAAAAAAGCGCUUGUGCGACAUCCUUCAAGCCGCAGGAUUUUCGUCGAAACACGAUUUGAAAUGGCCUGGCUUGACACUAUCGGUUGUGGAAUAUUUUAAAUCGAUGGGGCAAUUGAUGUCAACAUUGCAGCCAUACUAACCCAGCAGUCGGGCUGGCUGUCAGGAUUGCAGGUCCUUGGAGGGAAUGGAUCAGGGGCCUUGUGCCAUGAAUUCUGUCUGCAUGUCGAGGAAUAUAUGUCGCUGCGGGACAAAAAGAUAAAUUCGAGGACCACAAAUUCGGUUACUUAAAGGAGCAGGGGAACCGCGCAUUCGGCCAACAUCGACGAGGAAGCAUUGUUUGAAGGAGACGUCUUUUAAGGAUCAUCGAUUUUUUGUCAAAUAAGACCUAAAUGAGCGACAUUUUGUACUGACUGAGGGAUCCAGUCACCACUCGCGACAGCGCAGGAGUAGAAUCAGCACUGGGAAGUCUGACCCCUUUUC
Molecule: long non-coding RNA, 1230 nt
Organism: Drosophila teissieri
Lineage: Eukaryota; Metazoa; Arthropoda; Insecta; Diptera; Drosophilidae
Exons: 4
Source: RefSeq, a predicted model, not a curated record